This is a long non-coding RNA of Serinus canaria (Common canary), 5043 nucleotides long. RefSeq lists it as uncharacterized. The record is from RefSeq and is a predicted model, not a curated record. The transcript is spliced from 2 exons. Lineage: Eukaryota; Metazoa; Chordata; Aves; Passeriformes; Fringillidae.
AAAAGAAAGUUAUAGUUCAUAAAUACCCAACCGUAUCCCUUUUACAGGAGUCAGUGUACCAAAUUCAUAUUAAGAUAACAAUCACCAUCAUCAUCCAGCUGAGUCCCACCAAACACGUGAAAGAAAUCAGUCACUUGGAGCCACACACAUACUCAAGACCUUCAACAGUAGUUCCACCUUCACACUAAAUUGCCUGCAUACCACUGUUUAUAUUCCCAGUGCUUUGUGGCUCAGGACUGAAGCACACUAGGUACACUUUAGGCCUGGUUUGGCUUUUUUUUAUUAAGGGACACUGAUUUUGUUAAAAGAUCCUGUUACAGAGUUCCCACUUAAGAGUGGAAAAGGCUGUUCAGAGAAGCUGUGGAUGCCCCCAUCCCUAGAACUGUUCAGAGACAGGUGGGAUUGGACUUUAAACAACUGCAUGUCCCUCCACACAGCAGAGGAUAGGACACAGGAUCUUUAUGAUCCCUAGAAACUCAAACCAUUCUGAGAUUCCAAAAUUCUCUUAUUAAUUCUACCCCAAGCAUACAGGUGCAGAAGUGCAAAGUUCACUUAAAUUUAUUAUGUUUACACAGUGCCAACAGUUCAGACAAAUGAGGCUUUAUACAGCUCAAACCUUUAAUUAAUCCAUACGUUUAAUUAAAUCACGGCUCCUCUGUGCCCAUUAUACUAUUUCUAUAAAAAAGUAUCUUAAAUAUCUACAUUUUAACACAUCAUCCCAACACCUCUGAAAGAGUAACUCAGCAAAGCAGAACUUGAUUUCUUACAACAGCAAUACCAGGAGGUAUUUACAUAAGUUAGCACAAACUUUAUAAAACCUUUCUUAUUCAGCUCUUUGAAAGAUCAUCUAAAAAUCUGGCUAGCAAUGGCUUAUAUGUUUUAUUAAGUUUGUAUGGCUGCAUUUAUUUGUUCAAAGCUGCUGUUUUUGCUUCUUCCUACAAGGUGCAUUUACCCAUACCAGACAGUCUCUGAUUAGCAAAAAAUUAAAGAGACAGUCAUUCAUUCUUGUUUUUACCAUUUUGACCAUCUCAUUAAGAUACAACAUCUAGAGAUAAACGAUAACAGUGCUAUGAUGCAUCAGGAAAUUAUUACAUUUGAUCUGGGGCAGUUGUGCCCACCACAUUGCUGACCAGAAGGGCCAAAGAGCACACAGCACCAGUACCAUUCUGCACAGUGCUUGCCAGAUGAAACAAUUGAUUCACCUGAGGAGUUCAAGGCUUUGUCAAAUAUUCAGUCUAUGCCAAGUGAGAUGAGUUUGCCAUUGCAAAUACAUGCUCUGGACCCAGCUUAGGCUGUACAGUAUAAAGGUCGUGGAUUCUAUGCUUUACAGGUGAAUAAACCAUACUACAAAAAUAUUGAGUGAUUUACACUACUCUGGAUAGAACAAAAAAACUGUAUUCCUGCUAUUAGCCUUAAAUAUGCUAAUAUUUAUCAUUUUCUACAGUUCUGAAAAACUGAAUAGGUUUCUCAAUAUAGAACAGAUGUUUAGUGUAAAAUAAGCAUUAGCUGAAGGGAAUCCUAAUGUACAAUGACAUGACACCACUAAGGAAGGGAAACAAGUAAAAGGUUGCAGAUGGCUAGAAAAGAAGCUCUAAUUUUCAUCUGGUACUUGGAUAAAAACUGUUGUUAAAAGAUUCAGCCAAAAAUGGCUUUGUUUGGUUAACUGGCCCAUGGCUAGUGCCUUUUCAAAUGUUACAAUACAGAUACCACCAUAAGAGCUGUAAUAAGUCUCUAAGCACAUAAUCAGCACCCAGCAUUGCAUGUUUGUAUAGAAUUUAUUCUGCAACGAAGAAAAGCUUGACUCAGCUGUAGAGAAACCAAAAAACUACACAGUUUUACAUGCCCCUAUUAAUCUCUCACUCAUUCUGGCUAAGAGAUGUUUCCAGUCCAUACUGACUGCACCAAAGAACUUCAGGCACUACAAACUCUGGGGAGCCAUCCAGCAGCUCUCAGAUCAAGCACCAGCCACAGCAUAUUAGGGGGGUGGUCGACAUCUCCUGUGUGCUAUGGUCAACAGAUCACAAAAGUAAGGGCUUGCUUAACUCUUUCAUCUUGCUUGCACCCAUAACAUUCACUCCUUCUAAAAGGCAAUCUUACCUGCAGGCUGCUAAUUAGAUUCUUUUACAAAUAAUUGUGCACAGUAAGCUUGCUUUUUAUAUUGUCUUUAUAAAUAAGAUCAAUAGCAUUAUUUCAUGUCUUCUAGUCUGACAACGUCUUUUCCACAGCAAAGGGGAACUUCAAUAACACUAUAAAAUUCAGGAUAGUAAUAUGUAUGUAAAGUGUGCUGCAAUAAUUUUUUAUGGUAUAGAGAAUUUUAAGGGACAAGACUUCUCUUUGUUGUUUUGGACUAACAUAUAUAGAUUCUACUGCAUAACAUAGUAGUAACAGUCCUUUCCAGCAGACCAGAAAAGAACACUGUCUUCCCACAGGGCUGUCACACACAGCAAUGCUGUCAGUCACAGCAAUCUGAGGGGUCAAACUCUUUCUGGGUUUGUUAAAGUCACUGCAUAAACCUCGUGCCUUAUUUUUCCUUCCUUUUAAUACUAUAUGAGCAGAUUAUUUUUCUCACACUUUUAAAAACAUUUUUAAGACUAAAACUGCUUACAUGCCUCGGUGUAAGCAGAUAUUGGACUGAGGACAAAAACAGUUCACUGAUUUCUGGACAGCCACUGUGUAAAUCAGGACUGCACAUUCAAGCUCUUCAUGCAAAAGCAGCACAAUUCUACGAAAGAGCAGGAUCAGCACCUCGAAAGGAAAAACCUAAAGCCCCAGCUCCCCCACCAGCAACCAAGUCAGCAUGACAUUUUCCCACCUACGUUGAUGUGUGGGGAAAAGAGACAGGGUGGAAGGGGGAGGGGGGAGGAAACAUGUUAGCAUGGGAGAAGUCUUUCUUUGGAAAAAAGUGAAGAAAUCAAAAGCAGUUUGGUCAAAAAGACAACAAUAUCUGAAAACACUGCAAAAAAGCUUAAAGUACAAAAGUGAGACCAAGAAAACUUCAGAUGAAUGUCAAGCAGCACACUGACAUAAUCAAUGCUUGAAGUACUGAGAUUGCAUCAACCCACAACAUUUAAAAACUGUACAUUAGAACCAAAACUUGGCAAAAGAUAUCAGGAUAAAAAACAGGAGUGAAGUGACAAUGACGGAAGAAACAGGAAAAAUACUGCAUACUCAUUCCCACACCUGAAAACUGCAGCUGGAAUAAAAUAGUACAUUCUAAUGCUCCGAUGUUAAAACUCCCUAAAGGAAGUUAUUCAGCCCUAGUUUCUGCAUUCUUCUCUCCUGAGGUUCAGUUCUGUGCACACACACAAAGAAACUUUGAAUUAGUUGACCAGCACUUCAGAGAUCAAGCCCCCCUCUGUGUUCUUACCACAGACCUGAGCUGAAGUAGUAAGCAAAAUAAGAACUACUAGCAUAUAGAAUAGUACUAUUGAAAGCAUUAAGUUGUCUGGAAACAGAGAGAUACACAGAAGUUUUUUCUUGCACCGAAGUUUCACAAGCUAGAAACGAAGAUAUAUAGAAAAGGAUUUUUUUAAUUACACCAUAUUUCAGCCUUACUGACAAGCUAAUUCCUUUUGUUCCACUCAAGAAAGGCUAGCAAAAUGUACAUUUUUGGGUAAUUAAUGAGCUGAAAAAGCACUUGAUGUCAAAACCAACUUAGAAGUAAUGAAAAUUGAUUAUUUUCUUCCAUUUCUGUUUCAUGUAAAAAAAAAAUUAAGAUUUUAAUAAUUUCAGGGUGAUUUUCACAGCCGAAUUUAUAAAACAUAACUAUAAACAAAAGGCUGUAUUUUACCCUCAGUCACUACUUGCGUAAUUAAUUGCCGGACACAUAAAUGAGAUGUCUCCAACAUUAGACUAGAAAUGCAGUAAAGAAUUUUACAAUUAUAUAUACACACAUGUGUGUGUGCUCUUGUGUCCCAUUUAUAUUCUGGCUUUUAAACCAGAUGACUGUUUACCGAUUCUCAUCAGGUUCAGAGUACCUGCUGAAUAUCUGAAAACACAGGAAUCAUGGGUACUUAAACAACUCAAAAGUUUUAGAUAACAAAUUCAGUAACUAGAAGGCAGAUACACUGCUUUACUGCUUUUUAAAAUGAGUUUUCUUCAAGAAAACAACUCAACGAAACUUAUGUGCGUAACUUCCAGCUGCAGUACAGUCCUGCAGGCGUAACAAUUUAGACUUGAAAUCAAAGCAGCACUUCAAAAAGAAAUUUUGUGAAUUAUUUCCGAUUUCUAACAGAACAGCCUUUGACAAGAAACCCCCCAGUCUUCCUUCCUUGGAGCCAUGCCAUUUAACUUUUUUUUCUCUUUUUUUUUUUUUUUUUUACCACCUAAAGAAUGUACAUCCAGCGUGCUGCCCAGAAGUGGCCGUCUACCCCAGGACACCACAGACAGCGGUACAGCUUUACAUUCGAUGUCUACUACUGCAAAUAACCGCGCGUUUCCUCCAGAGGAGACUUGACAUAAACAACAUAGAUUGAAGCACUUUCACUCAGGCACCAAAAACACGGCACUUCUUACUGAUCUGAAGUUACACUUGACAGUUCAUCUCGUUUAAAGAAACGAGCAUCUCUGACUGCUCUGACAGCUCCAGCUCUGACAGCCCUACAAGUACAGACACCCCCACAAGGCUGGCCCAGGGCCCGAUCCCGCAGAAGGUCCGGCGCUCGCCGGCGCACCGCGACAUGGCGCGACUUCGCCUCGGCCACAACGGGCAGGAGAGCAGCGGGCCCUGCUCACCGCCGCCCCGCGCUCUCCCUCACCUCGACGUCCUCCGGGCCCCUCAGGGACGCAUCGCGGCACUGAUUUUGCUGCUGUCGUGUGGAUCCUGCGUAGCCCCCAGCUUGCUACCUGCUGAUCUGAGCUUUCGAGGGCAACAACUUCUGGCAGCAUGCACAGGAAAUUUAUAUGUCUCUCCCCUGCUGACCAAAUUACAGAGAGGAAGCGAAACCAGAAUGUGAAAGUGGCACAUAAAAUAAGGGCAGUUUUCCUGUAAAAGCACUUGCUUUUUGAUAACUACCUGUAAACCCAAAAUUUGUCAUUUUCCUA